AAGACCUUGCGCUUUUGGAGCGGCCGAUGYCUGAUUAGCUUGUUGGURAGGUAAAAGCUUACCAAGGCUUCGAUCAGUAGCUGGUCUGAGAGGACGRCCAGCCACACUGGGACUGAGACACGGCCCAGACUCCUACGGGAGGCAGCAGUGGGGAAUUUUGGACAAUGGGGGCAACCCUGAUCCAGCCAUGCCGCGUGAGUGAAGAAGGCCUUCGGGUUGUAAAGCUCUUUCAGCCGGAACGAAACGGUUACGGUUAACACCCGUGACUACUGACGGUACCGGAAGAAGAAGCACCGGCUAACUACGUGCCAGCAGCCGCGGUAAUACGUAGGGUGCRAGCGUUAAUCGGAAUUACUGGGCGUAAAGCGUGCGCAGGUGGUUUUGUAAGUCAGAUGUGAAAUCCCCGGGCUCAACCUGGGAACU
This 423-nucleotide ribosomal RNA is filed under the name uncultured bacterium. RNAcentral's name for it is "bacterial SSU rRNA". It matches the Rfam family "Bacterial small subunit ribosomal RNA", at positions 207 to 622 of the family's 1533-position model. The record is from RNAcentral.